RNAcentral lists this unclassified non-coding RNA (307 nucleotides) under plant metagenome. RNAcentral's name for it is "partial contains 5.8S ribosomal RNA, internal transcribed spacer 2, and large subunit ribosomal RNA". The stretch from base 1 to 105 matches the Rfam family "5.8S ribosomal RNA", at positions 50 to 154 of the family's 154-position model. The record is from RNAcentral.
GAAAUGCGAUAAGUAGUGUGAAUUGCAGAAUUCAGUGAAUCAUCGAAUCUUUGAACGCACAUUGCGCCCUUUGGUAUUCCAAAGGGCAUGCCUGUUCGAGCGUCAUUUGUACCCUCAAGCUUUGCUUGGUGUUGGGCGUCUUGUCUCUAGCUUUGCUGGAGACUCGCCUUAAAGUAAUUGGCAGCCGGCCUACUGGAUUCGGAGCGCAGCACAAGUCGCACUCUCUAUCAGCAAAGGUCUAGCAUCCAUUAAGCCUUUUUUCAACUUUUGACCUCGGAUCAGGUAGGGAUACCCGCUGAACUUAAGC